UACUUUUUUGCUGCUUUUUUUACCCACUUAUGAAAAAUGAAAAAAGUCGCUAAAAAUGGACGAAAAGUAAAGGGUAUAGCCUUACUUUUUUGCUGUUUUUUGGCCACUUAUAAAAAAUGGAAAAAAUCGCUAAAAUGGACGAAAAGUUAAGCCUAUAUAUCCUUACUUUUUUGCUGUUCUUUACCCACUUAUGAAAAAUGAAAAAAGUCGCUAAAAAUGGACGAAGGCUAUAGCCUUACUUUUUUU
Paramuricea clavata is the source of this 246-nucleotide non-coding RNA. The record is from the annotation of a GenBank genome assembly. NCBI's taxonomy places the organism in Eukaryota, Metazoa, Cnidaria, Anthozoa, Malacalcyonacea, Plexauridae.